ACCAGUACCGUGAGGGAAAGGUGAAAAGAACCCCUGUCAGGGGAGUGAAAGAGAAUCUGAAACCUGGUGCUUACAAGCUGUGGGAGCCGUACUUGUACGGUGACCAUGUGCCUUUUGCAUAAUGAGUCAGCGAGUUAAUCUGUACAGCAAGGUUAAGCGUAAGUGAAGCCGCAGCGAAAGCGAGUCCGAACAGGGCCACAGUUGUGCGGAUUAGACCCGAAACCGGGUGAUCUAUCCAUGAGCAGGUUGAAGCAAGGGUAAAGCCUUGUGGAGGACCGAACCAGUUCUGGCUGAAAACAGUUUGGAUGACUUGUGGAUAGGGGUGAAAGGCCAAUCAAACCCGGUGAUAGCUGGUUCUCCCCGAAAUAUAUUGAGGUAUAGCCUUGCGGAUUGUCUUAUGGAGGUAAAGCUCUGACAGAACUAGGGGUCCUAUCCGACUACCGAAUUCUUUCAAACUCUGAAUACCAUUAAGAUUUACCGCAGGAGUCAGACGGCGGGUGCUAAGGUUCGUCGUCAAAAGGGCAACAGCCCAGACCGACAGCUAAGGCCUCCAAAUGCAUGCUCAGUGGUUAAGGUGGUGGCGUUGUGUAGACACCCAGGACGUUGGCUUAGAAGCAGCCAUCGUUUAAAGAAAGCGUAAUAGCUCACUGGUUCAAUGGCGCUGCGCCGAAAAUGUAACGGGGCUAAGCAUGCUGCCGAAGCUUCGGAUUUGUCUCUGACAACUGGUAGGGGAGCGUUCUCUGCGGGCUGAAGCGGAACCGAAAGGUUUCGUGGACUGCAGAGAAGUGAUUAUGCUGACAUGAGUAACGAUAAAAUAUGUGAAAAACAUAUUCGCCGUAAAUCCAAGGUUUCCUGGGUAAAGGUAAUCUUCCCAGGGUUAGUCGGACCCUAAGGCCAGGCUGAAAGGCGUAGCUGAUGGGAAACGGGUUAAUAAUCCUGUACUUGUGCGAUUGUGCGAAGAAGGGACGCAGGAUGGUAGACAGGCCGGUUUUUGGAAUCCGGUGCAAGUGCGUAGGCGUGCUCCGCAGGCAAAUCCGCGGAGAUGAGCCGAGACACGAGUCCGUGGGCGUAAGCCCUGAAGCUGUUGAGCCACGGCUGCCAAGAAAAGCUUCUAAGUUUAGAUCGCGCGAACCGUACCGCAAACCAACUCAGGUGGAUGGGAUGAAUAAUCCAAGGCGCUCGAGAGAACUCUGGCCAAGGAACUCGGCAAAUUGACCCCGUACCUUCGGAAUAAGGGGUGCUCCCCACGGUGAGACAAAUUCUUGUUCAGCCCCGGGGAGCCGCAGAGAAAUGGUGGUGGCGACUGUUUACUAAAAACAUAGGUCUGUGCGAAGUCCUACAGACGACGUAUACGGACUGACGCCUGCCCGGUGCCGGAAGGUUAAAAGGAGGAGUCAGCGCAAGCGAAGCUCCGAUUUGAAGCCCCGGUAAACGGCGGCCGUAACUAUAACGGUCCUAAGGUAGCGAAAUUCCUUGUCGGGCAAGUUCCGACCUGCACGAAUGGCGUAACGAUCUCCACGCUGUCUCGGCCAGAGACUCGGUGAAAUUGAAGUCGCGGUGAAAAUGCCGUGUACCCGCAGAAAGACGGAAAGACCCUGUGCACCUUUACUAUAGCUUGACAUUGGGUUUUGAACCUGCAUGUGUAGGAUAGGUGGGAGGCUGUGAAAGCUGUACGCCAGUAUGGCCGGAGCCACCCGUGAAAUACCACCCUUGUUUGUUCAGGACCCUAACUCGCAGCUGUAAUCCAGCGCGAAGACAGUGUCUGGUGGGUAGUUUGACUGGGGCGGUCGCCUC
Molecule: ribosomal RNA, 1794 nt
Filed under: human gut metagenome
Description: bacterial LSU rRNA
Rfam family: Bacterial large subunit ribosomal RNA
Source: RNAcentral